GGAUGAACCCUUGGAGAGACUCGAAAUAGAGCACCGAAGGAGCAAGUUAUAUGAGAAAUCAUAUGGUGAAACUCUCAGGUAAAAGGACAGGGGACAGAUA
This 100-nucleotide non-coding RNA is filed under the name Clostridium saccharoperbutylacetonicum. RNAcentral's name for it is "Glycine sequence". It matches the Rfam family "Glycine riboswitch aptamer". Rfam says of the family: This family represents the bacterial glycine riboswitch. Glycine riboswitches usually consist of two metabolite-binding aptamers domains with similar structures in tandem. The aptamers cooperatively bind glycine to regulate the expression of downstream genes. Lineage: Bacteria; Bacillati; Bacillota; Clostridia; Eubacteriales; Clostridiaceae. RNAcentral also lists the same sequence under 1 other name. The record is from RNAcentral.